AAAUGAGUGUAUAAAACAAAAAUAUUUAAAUAAUGAAAAAUAUAUUACAAAACAGAGUGAAGAUAGAAUUGAAAAUGAAAUUAUAAAAGAAGAACAACAAAAAAAAGAAAAAGACAAGAUGAUGUUACAUAAUAAUAUAACAAAUAAAAAUAAAUAUGGAGUUAUAUCUGUAGGUAAAUAUAAAAACGAAUUACGAUCAAUUAUAGACAAAUCUAAUGAAGAAAUUAUGAAAACUAUUUUAGAAAAUAAAAAAGACAUUAAAAAUAAAAAUAGAAUGAAUACAACUCAAACAGGGGACACAUUGGCAAACUUGCAUAUGUUUGAGGAUGGGUAUAUGCAUAUACAUUCCCAUCGUGACUUAUCUAAUGUAACUAAUGGUACAAGUUAUAGUCACACGAAUCAUAACUGGAACAACGGUUUGAUCUACAAUGGAAUUAAUUUUCUCAAUAGUAAUGACAAACAUAAUGAGGAGUUGUUACAAACACCACGAAAACAAAACGAGUUUUUAAAAACUUAUAAAAAUAAUAUAAAUAAACAAAGGAAAGGUACUUUUAUAAAUAAUUCUUUAGAAAGACAUUCAAAUAUGAAUACUGCAAUUUCUCCUACUCGUUUUUAUAGUAACAAAAGAAAUAAGAAUAAUCAAGAAUAUUUACAAAGGGGACGUAGUCUUACGCCACGGAAAAAUAAAAAAAGAGAUAGUACGAGUAGGGAUAAAGAUAUUACUACACGUUUACAUUUGCAUAAAAAUGUAGAAAAGCCAAUUAACUUAGAUGAACUCAAAGCAAAAACUAAAGUAGAUGUACCUUUAGAAAAUAAGGCAGGUGCGACGAAUUUAAAAAAAAGGAAACUUUUGAACGAUUUAAUGGAUACAAAAUUAGUGGAAAAAGAAUUAAUGGAUCCAAUUGAAAAAGAACAACCCACACAAGAGUUAGCCAAAACAACACAUCAUAACAUUGAGGUAGUUAUGUCCACAAAAAACCAAACAAAAUUAAUUGAAAGUAAAGUGAAUUAUACAGAACCAAGUAUAACAACUCAGUCCCAACUUGGAAAAAUACAAAAUGAUAUAAAUAUAAGAAAAAAUGAUGAUAAUACUAAAAAUGAUAAUAAUCAAGCACAGUGUAAUAUAGUUUUAAAUAGUAUAAAUGAAAAAAAUAUUUUAAAAAAUUAUGUAGAGCUUGAUAAAAAUUCAUCUGAAAGGGAUAAAAUAAAAACAUUAAAUAAACUGAGUUUAUUGGAUACUGUACAAAAUGUUUAUUAUAAUAAAGUUACAAGUUUAGUUGAUUUUCAAGCAAAUCUACUUGUAAAAUCAAAUAAAAAAAAUGAUUCGGAGACAAAUGGAUAUAAUAAUACUAAAGACACUGUUACAAGUGCCAGCAGAGUCACCGUUGCAAGUAGUACUAUUAGUUCCUGUAGUAGCACGAAUAGAAAUGGUUGUAACGAAAGCGGCAAUGGAAUUAACAGUGGUAGUAACAUUGGUAGCAAUAAAAACAGCAACAUUGGUAGCAACAAAGACAGCAACAACGGUAGCAACAAAGACAGCAACAACGGUAGCAACAAAGACAGUAGCAGUGGUAGAAACAAAGACAGCAACAACGGUAGCAACAAAGACAGUAGCAGCGGUAGAAACAAAGACAGCAACAACGGUAGCAACAAAGACAGUAGCAGCGGUAGAAACAACAACAACUCGGUUGUUACCUACGCACAACCAGAGAUAAACGCCAAGAAGAACAAUAACAUUAACACAUUUCAACUGUCACGCCAGUUCUUCAUAUCCAAAAGCAAAUUUUUCAACGUGGAAGAAUUCAAUGAAAACGAU
Long non-coding RNA from Piliocolobus tephrosceles (Ugandan red Colobus), 1816 nucleotides. The record is from Ensembl. NCBI's taxonomy places the organism in Eukaryota, Metazoa, Chordata, Mammalia, Primates, Cercopithecidae.